AACGAACGCUGGCGGCAGGCCUAAAACAUGCAAGUCGAACGAACCUUCGGGUUAGUGGCGCACGGGUGAGUAACGCGUGGGAAUAUGCCCUUCACUGCGGAACAACGUCGGGAAACUGACGCUAAUACCGCAUAAUGACUCCGGUCCAAAGAUUUAUCGGUGAAGGAUUAGCCCGCGUCUGAUUAGCUAGUUGGUGAGGUAAUGGCUCACCAAGGCGACGAUCAGGAGGGGGUCUGAGAGGAUGAUCCCCCACACUGGAACUGAGACACGGUCCAGACUCCUACGGGAGGCAGCAGUUAGGAAUAUUGGACAAUGGGGGAGACCCUGAUCCAGCCAUGCCGCGUGUGUGAAGAAGGCCUUAGGGUUGUAAAGCACUUUCAGCUGUGAAGAUAAUGACAGUAGCAGAAGAAGAAGCUCCGGCUAAAUUCGUGCCAGCAGCCGCCGUAA
This 447-nucleotide ribosomal RNA is filed under the name uncultured bacterium. RNAcentral's name for it is "partial 16S ribosomal RNA". It matches the Rfam family "Bacterial small subunit ribosomal RNA", at positions 29 to 523 of the family's 1533-position model. The record is from RNAcentral.